Molecule: ribosomal RNA, 500 nt
Filed under: uncultured bacterium
Lineage: Bacteria
Description: partial 16S ribosomal RNA
Rfam family: Bacterial small subunit ribosomal RNA
Source: RNAcentral
AUUGAACGCUGGCGGAAUGCUUUACACAUGCAAGUCGAACGGCAGCACGGACUUCGGUCUGGUGGCGAGUGGCGAACGGGUGAGUAAUAUAUCGGAACGUGCCCAGUCGUGGGGGAUAACGUAGCGAAAGCUACGCUAAUACCGCAUACGAUCUACGGAUGAAAGCGGGGGAUCGCAAGACCUCGCGCGAUUGGAGCGGCCGAUAUCAGAUUAGGUAGUUGGUGAGGUAAAGGCUCACCAAGCCGACGAUCUGUAGCUGGUCUGAGAGGACGACCAGCCACACUGGGACUGAGACACGGCCCAGACUCCUACGGGAGGCAGCAGUGGGGAAUUCUGGACAAUGGACGCAAGUCCGAUCCAGCCAUUCCGCGUGCAGGACGAAGGCCUUCGGGUUGUAAACUGCUUUUGUACAGAACGAAAAGGUCUCUAUUAAUACUAGGGGCUCAUGACGGUACUGUAAGAAUAAGCACCGGCUAACUACGUGCCAGCCGCCGCAGUAA